GAUGAACGCUGGCGGCGUGCCUAAUACAUGCAAGUCGAGCGAACGGACGAGAAGCUUGCUUCUCUGAUGUUAGCGGCGGACGGGUGAGUAACACGUGGAUAACCUACCUAUAAGACUGGGAUAACUUCGGGAAACCGGAGCUAAUACCGGAUAAUAUUUUGAACCGCAUGGUUCAAAAGUGAAAGACGGUCUUGCUGUCACUUAUAGAUGGAUCCGCGCUGCAUUAGCUAGUUGGUAAGGUAACGGCUUACCAAGGCAACGAUGCAUAGCCGACCUGAGAGGGUGAUCGGCCACACUGGAACUGAGACACGGUCCAGACUCCUACGGGAGGCAGCAGUAGGGAAGCUUCCGCAAUGGGCGAAAGCCUGACGGAGCAACGCCGCGUGAGUGAUGAAGGUCUUCGGAUCGUAAAACUCUGUUAUUAGGGAAGAACAUAUGUGUAAGUAACUGUGCACAUCUUGACGGUACCUAAGCAGAAAGCCACGGCUAACUACGUG
RNAcentral lists this ribosomal RNA (497 nucleotides) under uncultured bacterium. Its description in RNAcentral is "partial 16S ribosomal RNA". It matches the Rfam family "Bacterial small subunit ribosomal RNA", at positions 28 to 507 of the family's 1533-position model. The record is from RNAcentral.